This 259-nucleotide unclassified non-coding RNA is filed under the name Endoconidioma populi. RNAcentral's name for it is "sequence contains 5.8S rRNA gene". The stretch from base 1 to 53 matches the Rfam family "5.8S ribosomal RNA", at positions 102 to 154 of the family's 154-position model. The record is from RNAcentral. Lineage: Eukaryota; Fungi; Ascomycota; Dothideomycetes; Dothideales; Dothideaceae.
GAACGCACAUUGCGCCCCUUGGUAUUCCGAGGGGCAUGCCUGUUCGAGCGUCAUUACACCACUCAAGCACCGCUUGGUAUUGGGCAUCGUCCGCCGUAAAGGCGGGCGUGCCUCGAAGACCUCGGCGGGGUUUCUCCAACUUCAGGCGUAGUAGAGUUAAAUCAAAACGUCUUAUAAGCUUGGUGAGAUCUCAUUGCCGUUAAACCUUUUAUAUUUUUCAGGUUGACCUCGGAUCAGGUAGGGAUACCCGCUGAACUUA